AACGGUUCUCAGGUGCUCAGGUUGCCGGAGCGGCGUGUUUGAACCGUUUGAACCACAGGCACCACAGGUUUGAACCGUUUCAACGGGAGUAAUGGCAAAACGGACGGAGUAGCACUGCGUGGCCUCGCAAUCCCAGCGACCCGACGAGCUCGCAAAGCGGUGCUCGGAAGACGACGCUCCCAAAGCCGACGACGCGCACUCACCUCUGUGGACAGCGAAGAAACAUCGUCGCACUGUGACAACGGCGACUAGUACACGGCAUAAGUACAAGUGCAUGAUUUGUGAGAUGUGCUUCAAGAAAAUCUACAACUUAAAGAGGCACCUAAAGGAGGUUCACGGGGACGCUGACACCAGCUGGAUCACACUGUCCGCUGCCGCCUUGCAUGCGAUCUGUGUCCAACGGCUUUUGCAUUCCAUUGGGGACUUGCUGCGCCACUUUGAAGCGAAACACGGGAUCGUCGCGAGGCGUGACAAGUUAAAGUUCAAUUUGUUGAAAGAAUUCAGCGACUGGAGGGAGGCUAAGGAUGGCAGAGAGCAUGUUCGCUUCAUUCUCCACGACGGACCCAAGGGACGAGAUGAGGGUGUCCUGAAAAGAGGGAGUGACCACUGGCGACCACAAGCAUGAGGAUCUGCUACAGGAAGCAUAAUCAUGUACCUGGACCUCGAGACCGGUGGCCUUGGAGAUGUCAGCAAGGCUACGGGGUGAUUUGCUCAACGCGAGGCUGUGCAAUUUAGUGGCAUGGAACUAGUGCCUCAUUUCGGAGAUCUCCAUGGCGAGUGAACAGUGUAAGGCUGGUGGGGCAAGAAGUUUAUUGGAAGGUUUUGUCAUGCCAUGGUGAUCAACAUUCAUGACAGGUUCAUCUGCCGAACUAGCUAUGCAAUAGAGGCAAGCCUGCUAAGUCACUGGGAUUAGUCGUCAGUGUGUGGCGCAGAGGACUUCUAGGGACAAGUCCAGGAGACGAACAUGCAAUAUUUAUAUUCUGUCUAUAUUUUGGUGAACCAAUGUUACUGUUGACAUUUAAGUGUGGGACAU
This 1033-nucleotide unclassified non-coding RNA is filed under the name Ixodes scapularis (black-legged tick). Its description in RNAcentral is "uncharacterized LOC115311694, transcript variant X3". Lineage: Eukaryota; Metazoa; Arthropoda; Arachnida; Ixodida; Ixodidae. The record is from RNAcentral.